GGGUUAGUAGUUUGGUUAUGCCACUGGUAUGUACUGGUCUUACUGAUUCCUCCUUCCUGAUGAACUGUAAUGCCAUUAAUUUGGUGUUGCAAGGAAUCUGGACUGUUACUUUGAAAAAAUUAGAGUGUUUAAAGCAGGCUAACGCUUGAAUACAUUAGCAUGGAAUAAUGAAAUAGGACGUUCGAUCCUAUUUUGUUGGUUUCUAGGAUUGACGUA
This 216-nucleotide ribosomal RNA is filed under the name uncultured Glomeromycotina. Its description in RNAcentral is "partial small subunit ribosomal RNA". It matches the Rfam family "Eukaryotic small subunit ribosomal RNA", at positions 630 to 864 of the family's 1831-position model. The record is from RNAcentral. Lineage: Eukaryota; Fungi; Glomeromycota.